Pan troglodytes (chimpanzee) is the source of this 920-nucleotide long non-coding RNA. RefSeq lists it as uncharacterized. The transcript is spliced from 2 exons. The record is from RefSeq and is a predicted model, not a curated record. Lineage: Eukaryota; Metazoa; Chordata; Mammalia; Primates; Hominidae.
GGCUGAAAGAGACUGGCAGCUUUCACUUCCUGUCUUUUGAAAGUCUCUUGAACUUCGGACCUGGGGGAAGCCAGGGGCCGAGUGAGAAGUCUGACUAUCCGGAGAUGGCGGUGAGUAUAGAGAAUUUCUGCUAGGUCUCCUGUGUUUCAGCCAUCCCAGCCCAGGCACCACGACACAUUAUCAAAGGACUAUCUUGGACCUUCUCAUCCCAGCAAACAUCCAAUGGAGAAGAAUGAAGACCCCAGACAUAUGAUCCCACUCUAGCCAUCCCAGGAGCCCCCAGCUAUCCAAACAACUACAGCUGUGGCCAAAAACAUCGUGUAUCAGGGACAAACUCUCUGCUUAUGGCUGCUCUAAUCCUUGACCUACAGAAUCAUGAAAUUUGUGGAUACGGUCAUGAUCUUGAUUUUGGCGAUGGUUUCACAGGUCAGAUGUACGUGAUGGUUACCAUUAUAACUACAUACUAUGAAAGAUUAAUCAGUGGAAAAAAACAAGUUAAAGACACACAAAAACUUCAGAGAAUCAACUUCUGGUCAAAAAAGUCCUCCUUUAGCCAACUCUAAACCUCAUUCAACCAAUAUUCUCUAUAGUCUUAGAAAGCAUUCAGAAGACAUAAUAUUUUUUAAGGACUUCAAGCAGCAAAUGGCAGAAGUGACAAGAAUUGAAAAUAGAGGAAAAUUUUGUUUUGCUUAAAGAAUUCUAAUUUUAAUGAUGGGAAGUAUGCAUCCAUAUUUAUGCCAGAUUCAUAUAUAUGAAAUAUAUAUAUAUAUAUAUAUAUAUAUAUAUAUUUCAUGUAAAUGUACUUUUGCUAACGAAAUAGGAAUUCAGGACAAUAAGAAGGUCUAGAGGAAGCACCCUUUAUGAGUAAUUGGUUUCAAUGUUCGUAUUCUUGAUCUAAACAAUAAAAAAUCAAAACUGCA